UCCCUGGUGGUCCAGUGGUUAAGACCUUGCUUUCCAAUGCAAGGGUUUCGGGUUCAAUCCCUGGUUGGGGAG
Molecule: transfer RNA, 72 nt
Filed under: Bos taurus (domestic cattle)
Lineage: Eukaryota; Metazoa; Chordata; Mammalia; Artiodactyla; Bovidae
Also listed under: 3 other names
Rfam family: tRNA
About the family: Transfer RNA (tRNA) molecules are approximately 80 nucleotides in length. Their secondary structure includes four short double-helical elements and three loops (D, anti-codon, and T loops).
Source: Rfam by way of RNAcentral